RNAcentral lists this ribosomal RNA (253 nucleotides) under uncultured bacterium. RNAcentral's name for it is "partial 16S ribosomal RNA". It matches the Rfam family "Bacterial small subunit ribosomal RNA", at positions 524 to 776 of the family's 1533-position model. The record is from RNAcentral.
GACAGAGGAGCCAAGCGUUGUCCGGAGUUACUGGGCGUAAAGCGCACGCAGGUGGUGCGGUACGUGCUUUGUGAAAGCCGGCGGCUUAACUGCCGGAGGCCAAGGCCUACGACCGGACUGGAGCCUGGGAGAGGUCCGUGGAAUUGCCGAUGUAGCAGUGAAAUGCGUAGAUAUGGGCAGGAACACCAAAGGGGAAGCCAGCGGACUGGUCCAGUGCUGACACUCAAGUGCGAGAGCGUGGGGAGCGAACCGG